This is a ribosomal RNA of 2643 nucleotides. It matches the Rfam family "Bacterial large subunit ribosomal RNA", at positions 1 to 2616 of the family's 2925-position model.
AAUUAAGCGAGAAAGGGCGCACAGGGGAUGCCUAGGCGCCAGAUGCCGAAGAAGGACGUGGUUGACUGCGAAAAGCCUCGAGGAGCCGUCAGCAGGCGAGAGGACUCGGGGAUAUCCGAAUGGGGAAACCCGGCCAGGCUAAUCCCUGGUCAUCCGUAGUGGAACACAUAAGCUACGGAGGGGAACCCGGGGAACUGAAACAUCUCAGUACCCGGAGGAAAAGAGAGCAUUCCGUGAGUAGUGGCGAGCGAAAGCGGAGGAGCCCAAACCGCCCGUUUCGGCGGGCGGGGUAGAAGGACCCGCCAUAAGGAGUGAGAAAACGUUUCAUUAGGGGAAGCGUGUGGAAAAGCGGACCGGAGAGGGUGACAGUCCCGUACCCGAAAAUGGAGCGUCUCCGGCGGGGAUCCUGAGUACCACGGGACACGAGGAAUCCUGUGGGAAGCAGGGGAGCCCACUCUCCAAGGCUAAAUACAUCUGGCGACCGAUAGUGGACAAGUACCGUGAGGGAAAGGUGAAAAGGACCGCGGUGAGCGGAGUGAAAGAGAACCUGAAACUGUGUGCCUACAAUCAGUCGGAGGGCGAUGCCGCGAUAGAGCGGGAGGCCUGACGGCGUGCCUUUUGGAGAAUGAACCAACGAGUUGCGUCUCAGUUGCGAGGUUAAGCCAGUUACAGGCGGAGCCGAAGCGAAAGCGAGUCUGAAGAGGGCGUUUAGUAGCUGGGAGCAGACACGAAACCGGGUGAGCUAACCAUGUCCAGGGUGAAGCGGGAGUAAAAUUUCGUGGAGGCCCGAACGGGUGUACGUUGAAAAGUGCUCCGAUGAGGUGUGGUUAGGGGUGAAAUGCCAAACGAACCCGGAGAUAGCUUGUUCUCCCCGAAACAGCUUUAGGGCUGGCGUUGCGCGAUGAGUGUCGGAGGUAGAGCACUGGAUUGGCUAGGGGGCGUAGAGCUUACCAAACCAAACCAAACUCCGAAUGCCGGCAUAUUGAGCGUGGCAGUUGGACUAUGGGAGAUGAGUUCCAUAGUCGAGAGGGGAAGAGCCCAGACCGUCGGCUAAGGUCCCGAAGGGUGUGCUAAGUGGGAAAGGAUGUGAGACUACCGAGACAGCCAGGAGGUUGGCUUAGAAGCAGCCAUCCUUUAAAGAGUGCGUAAUAGCUCACUGGUCAAGUGGUUUUGCGCCGAAAAUGUAACGGGGCUCAAGCACACUACCGAAGCCGCGGAUACCGCGAGAGCGGUAUGGUAGGGGAGCGUUCUGCAGGAGAGACGAGGCGUACCGGAAGGAGCGGUUGCGGCCUGCAGAAGUGAGAAUGUUGGUAUGAGUAGCGCGAGCGAUGUGAGAACCAUCGCCACCGGAAGUCUAAGGUUUCCGACGGAAGGGUAAUCCGCGUCGGGUUAGUCGGGCCUAAGCCGAGGCCGGAAGGCGUAGGCGAUGGACAACAGGUUAAUAUUCCUGUACCACCACACUGGAGCGAAGGCGUGACGCAGAAGGGUAGGCCAGCCGGGGGAUGGAUCGUCCCGGUGCCGGGCCCGUAGGGCGAAGAGGCGCGCAGGGAAAGCCGCGCGCGGAGUCUGAGGGGUCGUGGCGGAGCCGCAAGGCCGGAAGUGGUUGAUCCCAAGCUGCCGAGAAAAGCGUCUAAGUGGAGAAGGUGUGGUGCCCGUACCGCAAACCGACACAGGUAGACGGGUAGAGGAUACCAAGGUGGACGAGCGAACCCUCGUUAAGGAAUUCGGCAAAAAGGGUCCGUAACUUAGGGAGAAGGACCGCCCCUGCGGGUGAAGGCUGAACAGCUGGAGCGUGCGGGGGUUGCAGAGAAGAGGCCCUGUCGACUGUUUAACAAAAACACAGGUCUCUGCGAACUCGAAAGAGGAAGUAUAGGGGCUGACACCUGCCCAGUGCCGGAAGGUUAAAGGGAGGGGUUAGCCGGAAGGCGAAGCUCUGAACUGAAGCCCCGGUGAACGGCGGCCGUAACUAUAACGGUCCUAAGGUAGCGAAAUUCCUUGUCGGGUAAGUUCCGACCCGCACGAAAGGUGUAACGAACGGGGCACUGUCUCAACGAGGGGCUCGGCGAAAUUGAACUGCGCGUGAAGAUGCGCGCUACCUGCAGCAGGACAAAAAGACCCCGUGGAGCUUUACUGCAGCUUGACAUUGAGUUAGGGGCAAGUUUGUGUAGGAUAGCUGGGAGACUAAGAAGCCUGGGCGCCAGCCUGGGUGGAGUCGUCGUUGAAAUACCAGCCUGACUUGUUCUUGGCCCUAACGUGCGGCCGUGAUCCGGCGUGCGGACAGUGUCAGGUGGGCAGUUUGACUGGGGCGGUCGCCUCCUAAAGCGUAGCGGAGGCGCCCAAAGGUUCCCUCAGGCUGAAUGGAAACCAGCCGGAGAGUGCAAAGGCAAAAGGGAGCUUGACUGCGAGAAGGACAAUUCGAGCAGGGUCGAAAGACGGGCUUAGUGAUCCCACGGUACUGAGUGGAAGGGCCGUGGCUUACCGGAUAAAAGCUACCCCGGGGAUAACAGGCUGGUCUCCCCCAAGAGUUCACAUCGACGGGGAGGUUCGGCACCUCGAUGUCGGCUCGUCGCAUCCUGGGGCUGGAGUAGGUCCCAAGGGUUGGGCUGUUCGCCCAUUAAAGCGGUACGCGAGCUGGGUUCAGAC